This 253-nucleotide ribosomal RNA is filed under the name uncultured bacterium. Its description in RNAcentral is "partial 16S ribosomal RNA". It matches the Rfam family "Bacterial small subunit ribosomal RNA", at positions 524 to 776 of the family's 1533-position model. The record is from RNAcentral.
UACGUAGGGUGCGAGCGUUGUCCGGAAUUAUUGGGCGUAAAGGGCUCGUAGGCGGUUUGCCGCGUCAGGAGUGAAAACUCGGGGCUUAACCCCGAGCCUGCUUCUGAUACGGGCAGACUAGAGGUAUGCAGGGGAGAACGGAAUUCCUGGUGUAGCGGUGAAAUGCGCAGAUAUCAGGAGGAACACCGGUGGCGAAGGCGGUUCUCUGGGCAUUACCUGACGCUGAGGAGCGAAAGUGUGGGGAGCGAACAGG